GAGGGUAUAGCUCAGUGGUUGAUUAUGUGCUCAGCAUGCACAAAGUCCUGGGUUCAAUUCCUAGCACCUCUA
RNAcentral lists this transfer RNA (72 nucleotides) under Camelus bactrianus (Bactrian camel). It matches the Rfam family "tRNA". Rfam says of the family: Transfer RNA (tRNA) molecules are approximately 80 nucleotides in length. Their secondary structure includes four short double-helical elements and three loops (D, anti-codon, and T loops). Further hydrogen bonds mediate the characteristic L-shaped molecular structure. tRNAs have two regions of fundamental functional importance: the anti-codon, which is responsible for specific mRNA codon recognition, and the 3' end, to which the tRNAs corresponding amino acid is attached (by aminoacyl-tRNA synthetases). tRNAs cope with the degeneracy of the genetic code in two manners: having more than one tRNA (with a specific anti-codon) for a particular amino acid; and 'wobble' base-pairing, i.e. permitting non-standard base-pairing at the 3rd anti-codon position. The record is from Rfam by way of RNAcentral. RNAcentral also lists the same sequence under 1 other name. Lineage: Eukaryota; Metazoa; Chordata; Mammalia; Artiodactyla; Camelidae.